GUUGCUCAGUGACAACAUGAGUAAAGUCAUGAACAGAUUUAUUCUCAUUGCCACUAUUCAUUCUUUAUUGUGGCUGGAAGUCUUUUCUGACAGUAAAGAUGUUUCUCAAAUGCCGCCUGAUCUGCUCAGAAAGCCUGGAGAAUUUGCAGUGCUUCAGUGUUCACACAGCAUUUCAAGCUAUAAUUACAUUCUAUGGUACAAACAAACCAGAGACAGAGAACUUCAGUACAUGGGACGUCUUGCUGUAACAAACUCUCAGCCAGAGCCUGAGUUUAGCAAGAACAUUUUUUUAUCAGGCACUGGAGAUAAAAACGGCACACUGACUAUAAAUGAUCUGAAAUCUAAUGACAGCGCAGUGUAUUACUGUGCAGCAUUUGCACAGUGAUUCAUUCCUCCUCUCUCCUCUACAUAAACCCUCCUCUUUUAAACUGUUAUAUUUAACCACAUAAAGCACCUGUGUUCAUUCAUUCUUCAAAGCCCAAACAUAAUGCAAAAAAAAAGCCAAUGGCAAUGUUUAUGCAUUAACAUGAUCAUUUACAUAACAUAUACAUAGAUGCUAUAUCCUUCUCUAAGAAAGACUUCAGCUAUGAUAGCUACACAUAAGCCACAAGUAAAUAUGUGAUCAAACUUUAUUUGUACAGCUUCCAUUAUUUUCAUGAGACUUGCUUUUUUUCUUUAUUUUUUUUUUUUCGAACAAACCUCCAGGGAUAUUUUUCUACACCUCCCAAGUUCAGUCUUGUAUUUCUAAUUCUCAUGACUCAAAUCAUCUCAAACACAUUCAUGUUGAGGUCUGGACUCUGGGGUGGUCAGUAAGGGUUUGUUGAGAGCUACACAUCCUUUCAGACCCAUAGAGUUGAGCUAUCUAAGUCUUGUAUAUCAGGGCACCAAUUUUCUUUAUAUGUUUUAAUCUUUUUUUGAAAUCCAGUUUGGGAAACACCUGGUUUGACACUAUUUCCCUUUGACUUUGUCCUUCCUCAUGCCAGUGGAUAAUCUUAUAUCUAAUCUCCUCAAAAAUAUUUCCUUAGAAAAAUAAUAAUUUAUACUCGAUGGCUGUUUUGACUACAGAUGAAAUGCAUUACAGAUGGCUG
This is a long non-coding RNA of Pygocentrus nattereri (red-bellied piranha), 1088 nucleotides long. Lineage: Eukaryota; Metazoa; Chordata; Actinopteri; Characiformes; Serrasalmidae. The record is from Ensembl.